RNAcentral lists this ribosomal RNA (468 nucleotides) under uncultured bacterium. RNAcentral's name for it is "partial 16S ribosomal RNA". It matches the Rfam family "Bacterial small subunit ribosomal RNA", at positions 28 to 507 of the family's 1533-position model. The record is from RNAcentral.
GGCGAACGCUGGCGGCGUGCUUAACACAUGCAAGUCGAACGGCAAGGCCCUGCGUUUUUGGGGUUCUCGAUUGGCGAACGGGUGCGUAACAGGUGUGUAACCUACUCUUGACUUUGGUAUAACUUCAGGAAACUAGGGCUACUACCGUAUAGCAUCUCCUGCUGCAUGGUGGGCGUGGGAAAGUUUCGGCGGUUGCGGUUGGACUCGCGGCUUAUCGGCUUGUUGGUGGGGUAGUGGCUUACCAAGGCUUUGACGGGUCGCCGGCCUGAGAGGGUGACCGGCCACAUUGGGCCUGAGGGACGCAGCAGACUCGAACGGUGGGCAGCAGUGGGGAGUCUGGCACAAUGGGCGGAAGCGGGAGGCAGCAACGCCGCGUGCGGGAUGACGGUCUUCGGGGUGUAAACCGCUGUCGCCUGUGACGAAGCGUGAGUGACGGUAAUGGGUAAAGAAGCACCGGCUAACUACGUG